UAGGGAGUAGUAUAGUGGGAGUACAUAGAAUUUUGAGUUCUUUUGUGUGGGUUCGAGUCCCAUCUGUCUA
RNAcentral lists this transfer RNA (70 nucleotides) under Rhineura floridana. RNAcentral describes it as "tRNA-Gln". It matches the Rfam family "tRNA". Rfam says of the family: Transfer RNA (tRNA) molecules are approximately 80 nucleotides in length. Their secondary structure includes four short double-helical elements and three loops (D, anti-codon, and T loops). Further hydrogen bonds mediate the characteristic L-shaped molecular structure. tRNAs have two regions of fundamental functional importance: the anti-codon, which is responsible for specific mRNA codon recognition, and the 3' end, to which the tRNAs corresponding amino acid is attached (by aminoacyl-tRNA synthetases). tRNAs cope with the degeneracy of the genetic code in two manners: having more than one tRNA (with a specific anti-codon) for a particular amino acid; and 'wobble' base-pairing, i.e. permitting non-standard base-pairing at the 3rd anti-codon position. The record is from RNAcentral. Lineage: Eukaryota; Metazoa; Chordata; Lepidosauria; Squamata; Rhineuridae.